This 18-nucleotide ribosomal RNA is filed under the name Sticta borinquensis. RNAcentral's name for it is "partial 18S ribosomal RNA". The record is from RNAcentral. Lineage: Eukaryota; Fungi; Ascomycota; Lecanoromycetes; Peltigerales; Lobariaceae.
CGUAGGUGAACGUGCGGA